CACUCCUGCGGGGGCAGCAGUGGGGAAUAUUGGACAAUGGGCGCAAGCCUGAUCCAGCCAUGCCGCGUGAGUGAUGAAGGCCCUAGGGUUGUAAAGCUCUUUCACCGGUGAAGAUAAUGACGGUAACCGGAGAAGAAGCCCCGGCUAACUUCGUGCCAGCAGCCGCGGUAAUACGAAGGGGGCUAGCGUUGUUCGGAUUUACUGGGCGUAAAGCGCACGUAGGCGGACUAUUAAGUCAGGGGUGAAAUCCCGGGGCUCAACCCCGGAACUGCCUUUGAUACUGGUAGUCUUGAGUUCGAGAGAGGUGAGUGGAAUUCCGAGUGUAGAGGUGAAAUUCGUAGAUAUUCGGAGGAACACCAGUGGCGAAGGCGGCUCACUGGCUCGAUACUGACGCUGAGGUGCGAAAGCGUGGGGAGCAAACAGGAUUAGAUACCCCAGUAGUCCCAUGA
Molecule: ribosomal RNA, 449 nt
Filed under: uncultured organism
Description: partial 16S ribosomal RNA
Rfam family: Bacterial small subunit ribosomal RNA
Source: RNAcentral